Molecule: long non-coding RNA, 856 nt
Filed under: Zostera marina
Lineage: Eukaryota; Viridiplantae; Streptophyta; Magnoliopsida; Alismatales; Zosteraceae
Description: long non-coding RNA (ZMAR_LNC000649)
Source: RNAcentral
AUUAAUACAGCCUUUAGAGAAACUCUCUCAAGAUGGAAGGGCAAGUGCUAGCAUUUUCACAUAUAUGGGGUAGGAUUUAGCUGGUCAGCUGGAUUUUUGCUGUAAUUUUCACAUAUUAGAUCAAUGACAUUGUUCUACCAAUAGGGGUGGUCACUAAUGUGAGAGUGCGAGACAGAUAUUCUACAGGCUCAUUUGCGAAGUAAGACAUGCUGGCCCAUGGGAGGGAGGUUGGUGCAUCCAAAGGAAGCUGGAGGACUGGACAUCAGGGAUAUUGAGUUUGCUGCCAGGGUAGUCAAUGUGAGGACGUUACACAUGUUUUGGACAGGGUUUUGUACUCUCCAGUUGGAUCUGAGAUAGAUACAUUAAUGGGAGGGGUUUUCAUCAAAUUUCAAUCUCAGGAUAGGAAUUUAGUCAUGUGCAAAGCUAUUCUGAAGAGCAGAGAGGAUAUUGACCUGCUAUGUUCAAUGGUCAUGGACACCAGAGAACGUGGGGAAACCCACCGUACACCUCACCAUCGGACUUUGACUCUUGGGAUCCGUAUAACCGUCUGAGAGAGUUCGGAGGCCACCGGAGAUGACAGGGAAGCCCUACACUCAUUGGAUUUGAGAGAUAUCAGCGCUACACAGAUCGUGAUGAUAGGGAGGAUUGAUUCGAUAGAGGUCCGCGACCUUAUGAGAAUGAAUAUGGGAAGUAUAGAUUGAAGAUGGAGAUUCCAACCUUCAAUGGUCAUAUGAGAAUCGAGGAAGUGCUAGACUGGUUAACUGAAGUAAAGUGCUUCUUCGAAGUCAUGGAAAUUCCCGAAUAACAGAAGGUCGAAUUAGUGAGAGUCAAACUGAAAUUUCGGGCUUCAGUUUGG